This 647-nucleotide ribosomal RNA is filed under the name Prevotella sp. Its description in RNAcentral is "partial 23S ribosomal RNA". It matches the Rfam family "Bacterial large subunit ribosomal RNA", at positions 1 to 638 of the family's 2925-position model. Lineage: Bacteria; Pseudomonadati; Bacteroidota; Bacteroidia; Bacteroidales; Prevotellaceae. The record is from RNAcentral.
AGAAGAUGGUAAGGGCAAACGGUGGAUGCCUUGGCACAAGAAGCCGAUGAAGGACGUGAUAAGCUGCGAUAAGCCACGGUAAGGAGCACAUAUCCUGUGACCCGUGGAUUUCCGAAUGGGUAAACCCACCAAGAGUCAUUUCUUGGUACUUCCUGCUGAAUAUAUAGGCAGGAUAGAGGUAACCGGGGGAACUGAAACAUCUAAGUACCCCGAGGAAGAGAAAUCAAACGAGAUUCCCCUAGUAGUGGCGAGCGAACGGGGAUAUAGGACAAACCGUCAGUUGCGCAAGCGCUGGCGGGGUUGUAGGACCAUUCAUUGUGGAGUUACAAAACUUCGUGGAAGCAGAAUAGCUUGGAAAAGCUGGCGAGACAGGGUAAAAGCCCCGUACGCGAAUCCGCGAAGACUCCCGAGUGGCACCUGAGUACUGCCGGACACGUGAAACCCGGUGGGAACCUGGGGGGUCCACCCUCCAAUCCUAAAUACUCUCUUGUGACCGAUAGUGAACCAGUACCGUGAGGGAAAGGUGAAAAGCACCCCUAGCGGGGAGUGAAAUAGUACCUGAAACCGUUUGCCUACAAGCAGUCGGAGCAGACUUUUGUCUGUGACGGCGUGCCUUUUGUAGAAUGAGCCAGCGAGUUACGGCAUGU